Molecule: long non-coding RNA, 2214 nt
Organism: Mustela erminea (ermine)
Lineage: Eukaryota; Metazoa; Chordata; Mammalia; Carnivora; Mustelidae
Exons: 5
Source: RefSeq, a predicted model, not a curated record
UGUAGCUUGCUUCUCAAAAGUAGGGUCCUUUGCGCUGGUGCCCAGCAGUUUAAGAAUCAGCAUCACCUGGGAGCUGGUAAAAUAUGGACUCUCAGCAACCCCAUCCGCCCACCACCCCAUUAAUGGAGGCAGAAUCAUCAUUUCCAGCAAGACCCAAGGCGGGGAUUCUCAUGCACAUUAAAGUGGAAGAAGUCCUGAUCGGUGGUUGGCGGCCAGUUGGGUACUCACCGCCCAGCCCUAGGCAGCUUCGGCUAAUUCUGCCAGCCACUAGCAUUCAAGCACUGGGGCCCUGGCUCUAGGAACAAGACGUGGAAGUCACAGCAGAGACAGGGACUCAUGAACGGCCACUAGGGAAUAGGAACCGAGAACACUCUUUCUGUGGCUUCCGUGAAACUGCAUUUUGCAUGUUCUCACCCCGACUUUGCUCUCCAUUUGCUCCCAGUCUUUCCCUCAUCGUUCAACCCCCUCCAGUGGCAACAAUGAUGGCAGAUUUUUCCAUUUCCCACCAGGCUGAGGGUGGCAACUCGAGCGGCUCCGGUGUGGGGCAGGCGCCGUACUGGACACCUGACUCACUUCUCAAUCACACCGGACCAUCGGGUCUUACUCCCUUUUUAACAGUAAGAGACACAAGGCUCCAAGGAGUUAAGUGAUCAUCUAAGGUUAAGGAGUGGUUAGUGGGAAUCCAGUUACACCCCAAAUACGGCCAGCAGGAGCCUGCGGCUCUCUGGGGGAAGCCAGAACAGAACAGAACUCGGGGAGCUGGAAACACCUGUAGGACAGCAGGAGUCCCUGUGAGGCUGGGGCCUUCCCGGGAGGGCUGGCGGGAGGCGGUGCUGCCGGUGGGCUCAGGUAGCAGGUGCGGUGGGAGUGGCUCAGCUGCUGGAAUAAAGCUGGAAAGAGAAAGGUUGGCCGGACGCCGGCGCGGAGAUCAGGAAGUGUCAGUAGGGUCAGCCGGGAAGCAUCUUGGCUCCGGAGACCGUUACUUAUUUCGUCUACAAGCCCCAUGCCCCCGGAUGAGCAAUUUUCAGGUAGGUAUUAUCACACUUUGUUUCCUCGCAGUGGACACUGAUGUAGGGUUUUUCUUGUUCUCCCUAUGGCUGGUGUUGUCUGCAGACAAAACACGGAGAAUCACGUUGGGUUAAGCGCCCCAGCUCUGAGAGCCAGGAGACGUGGACCCCAAGUGGGGCUCUUCCAAACACGUGCCAUGGGGCUUCGUGCAAGUUACGUGUCUCCUUGAGCCUCAGGUCCCUCAUCUGUGAGCGGGCGGGAAGUGCUGUCCAGCUCACUCAGUUGAUGUGAUGGCUGAAGAGACCGUGCCUUCCUGAACCUGCGACAGGCUGGAGGCCGAGGCAGAAGCGGGGACAAUGGUUUCCUACGCGAGGAGUUCAUGUGAAAGCCAAGCCUACUGCGUCCGUUCAACAGUGGAGCCUCAUCACAUUGCAACUAAGAAAACUUCCAUUCAGUAAACAUCUAUCGAGCGCCUGCUGUAUGCAAGGGAAUCUGAUAGGCAGCGGCAGUGUGGCUGGAGAGCAGAGACACAAAGCUGUCUUCGAGCCAGUUCCGUAGGACUCUUUGUGGAAAGUCUCAGCAAGAAAAUAUUUAUUCAGAAUUGGCAAAUCAAAGUCACCAGAUGUGCUGAAUCAUGAUUUUGCCUGGCAUUCAUGGCCAUGACAUUAAUCAAGCAGAAUUCUUCCCCAGUUUGCACAGGCACACUGUGUAUUUCAGCCUCGGAGACAAAAGAGAACCACGCCUAACCAACUCUCCAGGAAAUGCAGUUCUCAUCAAUGAAGCCGUUACUGAGUCAUCAACAGCGAGGAAGAUAAUUAUUCCCGAACCACUGGAUGAGGGAGCAGUUUGAUCCAAAGCUAUGGAUUUCCAAUGAAAGAAGGAACAACCUCUUCUGGCCACACAGCUGCUCAGCAGCCCUCAGUCUUGAACAUGUUGGUACAUGUUCAAGGACGUGUUCAAGGACUGCAGUUCGGCUGGACCAUCCUCCACGGAGCGUCUCUCUUGAGCAGGUGACAUUUCCAGCCGCUUCCCUGGGUUCGGCACAGGUCGGAUAUGACAUCGAGGUGCCCUCCUUGCUUCUGUGAAGACAGCCAUCCAGGCACGACGCUAUUAUGACAGCUGGGGAUCAUUUGAAAAUGAGCUUCACUUCACUUCGCAUAUCAGAUGAUAAUUUUAAAAAGCGGGUCCUCUUUUCCCCCCCCGAAG